UUCCUGGUGGUCCAGUGGUUAGGAAUCUGUGCUUCUACUGCAGGGGGCCCAGGUUUAAUCCCUGGUCAGGGAA
Molecule: transfer RNA, 73 nt
Filed under: Balaenoptera acutorostrata scammoni
Lineage: Eukaryota; Metazoa; Chordata; Mammalia; Artiodactyla; Balaenopteridae
Description: tRNA-Arg (TCT) (tRNA-Arg-TCT-26-1)
Rfam family: tRNA
About the family: Transfer RNA (tRNA) molecules are approximately 80 nucleotides in length.
Source: RNAcentral